This 407-nucleotide ribosomal RNA is filed under the name uncultured bacterium. Its description in RNAcentral is "bacterial SSU rRNA". It matches the Rfam family "Bacterial small subunit ribosomal RNA", at positions 355 to 776 of the family's 1533-position model. The record is from RNAcentral.
UGGGGAAUAUUGCACAAUGGAGGGAACUCUGAUGCAGCAACGCCGCGUGAAAGAAGAAGGCGUUAGUGUUGUAAACUUCUAUCGACAGGGAAGAAAAAAAUGACUGUACCUGAGUAAGAAGCCCCGGCUAACUACGCGCCAGCAGCCGCGGUAAUACGUAGGGGGCAAGCGUUAUCCGGAAUUACUGGGUGUAAAGGGUGAGUAGGCGGUAAUAUAAGCCAUAUGUGAAAACUUAGAGCUUAACUUUAAGCUUGCAUAAGGAACUAUGUAACUAGAGUGCAGGAGAGGUAAGUGGAAUUCCUAGUGUAGCGGUGAAAUGCGUAGAUAUUAGGAGGAACACCAGUGGCGAAGGCGACUUACUGGACUGAAACUGACGCUGAGUCACGAAAGCGUGGGGAGCAAACAGG